AUGCUGGGGAGUGGCUUCAGUCAGGAUGCUUCUACUGUUUACCUUCCACAUUGGUGGCUUGUGACGUUAUUUCAGGGUUUGAAUUUGGUCCUUGCGCCUUUAGCAUUCAGUGCCAGGCCUCGGUUUCCUGGAGCGGCAUUCGUCAGGUCUUGGCCGGUCUUGCUGACCGUCUAUGCAGCAUUGAUUUGUUCUUCUUCAGUUGUUGACAUUGUUGCAGAGAAGACAAUCACUAUUAAGUCUUGUUUAGAUGUUCUCUACUUACCAGGUGCAGUGGUCCUCCUCAUUUAUGGCAUUCGACACAGCCAUGACGAAGAGGGCUAUGGAGGAAUUGGAAAUGGUUUAUACAAACCCCUCAACACAGAGACAGACGGCGAGUCGGGUUUCUUUGUUUUGCUCAAGGUUCUCACCUUAUCCACUGGCCCAGUAAUUCUCAAGGCAUUCAUCAAUGUAUCACUUGGGAAAGGGAACUUUAAAUACGAAGGCUAUGCGCUGGCUGCAUUAUUGUUCGUCUGCAAAUGUUGUGAAUCAUUGUCGGAGAGACAGUAG
RNAcentral lists this ribosomal RNA (546 nucleotides) under Triticum aestivum (bread wheat). RNAcentral's name for it is "partial small subunit ribosomal RNA". Lineage: Eukaryota; Viridiplantae; Streptophyta; Magnoliopsida; Poales; Poaceae. The record is from RNAcentral.